Long non-coding RNA from Arabidopsis lyrata subsp. lyrata, 904 nucleotides. RefSeq lists it as uncharacterized. The record is from RefSeq and is a predicted model, not a curated record. Lineage: Eukaryota; Viridiplantae; Streptophyta; Magnoliopsida; Brassicales; Brassicaceae. The transcript has 3 exons.
CACAAAAACAUAUAUGUUAUGUGUUAAUGAAAAUUUAGCUGACAUUGAAGGAUAGUUGAAAGUUUCUAGGUACGGUCUUGUCAGUGCAAGUGAUAGAUGAGCUUCAAGGUAGAUGCAUUGUAAUUCAAGCCACAGAGAAACGCCAUGUAGUCUGAUUUGCCUAAUUAAUAGACAAGUCCUGGAUUUAAAGCUGCUAUUGGGUCGACAUGUCCAACUCCAUAAGAAAAUUCGGUCGAUGCAAACCCAGACUCAGUAGCAUUCAUCGGCCAAGCUGCAAAGUGUAGUUAAAAGACUGAAUAAGAGCAGAGUUAUCAGCAUAAAUGUUACUUGCGGGACAAGAAAGUAAAAGAUGGAUAUGACUUUUGUUUACCGGUUGAUACCAUUCAGGAUGAAAUGUCUUGGGGUAAGCAGCCACGCCUGCAACGUGUGGACAAGCCAUUGAUGUUUCUGAGGUAACAGAGUAGUUCACACGUCAUUUGUCCCACUUUUGUGAAGAUUGGGAAACCAAAGGUAAACAAGCAGCGAGGAUUUCCACUCUUGGGGCUGUUAUAUCCGGCUGCAAUUCAAUCAACCAUUGUCUCUCAAACCGGGAAACAAAAGGGAACUAACCAAUUGAAAAAUUGUAAUUAGCCAAACUUGUAUGUCAAGGAUCUAAUAAAAGCCCAAAACUACAAAAGCUCAAAAACUUAUUUCUAUAUAUAUAUAACUCAGUCUAGGGUUUUCGUCCUCCAAUAUUUCUAUCGAAAACUUAGCAGUCGCUCUUCCCUUCUCAUCUUAUAUUCUCCAUGGGCGAGAGGCUUUUGAAAUGCUCCACAUCCACCGAUGUUGAAGCUACCACAGAGCCGUCGCAGAAUGCUCCAGAUGAUUUGGAGCAGCAAGUAUUUCCGAAGAAGCAAAAAAAGGU